RNAcentral lists this ribosomal RNA (591 nucleotides) under Labeo longipinnis. RNAcentral describes it as "partial 16S ribosomal RNA". It matches the Rfam family "Bacterial large subunit ribosomal RNA", at positions 1811 to 2603 of the family's 2925-position model. The record is from RNAcentral. Lineage: Eukaryota; Metazoa; Chordata; Actinopteri; Cypriniformes; Cyprinidae.
AAACAUCGCCUCCUGCAACACAACCGUGUAUAGGAGGUCCAGCCUGCCCAGUGACUACAAGUUCAACGGCCGCGGUAUUUUGACCGUGCAAAGGUAGCGCAAUCACUUGUCUUUUAAAUAGAGACCUGUAUGAAUGGUUAAACGAGGGCUCAACUGUCUCCCCUUUCCAGUCAGUGAAAUUGAUCUGCCCGUGCAGAAGCGGACAUAAAAAUACAAGACGAGAAGACCCUUUGGAGCUUAAGGUACAAAAUUCACCCACGUCAAACAACUCAAUAAAAAGCAAAAACCUUGUGGAACAUGAAACUCUACCUUCGGUUGGGGCGACCACGGAGAAAAACAAAUCCUCCAAGUGGAUUGGGAGAACCUCCUAAAACCAAGAGAGACAUCUCUAAGCCACAGAACAUCUGACCAAACAUGAUCCGGCUACCCAAAGCCGAUCAACGAACCAAGUUACCCUAGGGAUAACAGCGCAAUCCUCUCCCAGAGUCCAUAUCGACGAGGGGGUUUACGACCUCGAUGUUGGAUCAGGACAUCCUAAUGGUGCAGCCGCUAUUAAGGGUUCGUUUGUUCAACGAUUAAAGUCCUACGUGA